This 440-nucleotide ribosomal RNA is filed under the name uncultured bacterium. Its description in RNAcentral is "partial 16S ribosomal RNA". It matches the Rfam family "Bacterial small subunit ribosomal RNA", at positions 338 to 795 of the family's 1533-position model. The record is from RNAcentral.
CCUACGGGAGGCAGCAGUGGGGAAUAUUCCACAAUGAGGGAAACCCUGAUGCAGCGACGCCGCGUGCGCGAUGAAGGAUUUCGGUAUGUAAAGCUCUAUCAUCAGGGAAGAAGAUGACGGUACCUGACUAAGAAGCGCCGGCUAACUACGUGCCAGCAGCCGAGGUAAUACGUAGGGGGCACGCGUGAGCCGGAUUUACUGGGUGUAACGUGAGCGUAGACGGCGGUGCAAGCCAGAUGUGAAAGCCCGGGGCUCAACCCCGGGACUGCAUUUGGAACUGUGUGACUGGAGUGUCGGAGAGGCAGGCGGAAUUCCUAGUGUAGCGGUGAAAUGCGUAGAUAUUAGGAGGAACACCAGUGGCGAAGGCGGCCUACUGGACGAUGACUGACGCUGAGGCUCGAAAGCGUGGGGAGCAAACAGGAUUAGAUACCCGUGUAGUC